This is a non-coding RNA of Pelobates cultripes (western spadefoot toad), 258 nucleotides long. Lineage: Eukaryota; Metazoa; Chordata; Amphibia; Anura; Pelobatidae. The record is from the annotation of a GenBank genome assembly.
AAAGAAAGGGGUGUAGGGUGGGUUAGUCUGCGUCAAGUGGAACCAGUGUCUGCUGUCGCUCCAUUAGUGGGUUCAGGAGCGUCUGCUCUUUGUCUGUAUUGGGUAAUGAAUAGGAACCAAGGGAGCCACAUCUCCGUAUGUUUCGUUUUACGGUCGGUCAGGGUGGCGUGAAUGUCUUCCGCCCCAUAUAUGUCUUCCACCCUGCGGAUCCAUUCUGUCUUCGACGGUAUAUUGCGUUGUUUCCAGAGUGCCGGUAUG